This 497-nucleotide ribosomal RNA is filed under the name uncultured bacterium. Its description in RNAcentral is "partial 16S ribosomal RNA". It matches the Rfam family "Bacterial small subunit ribosomal RNA", at positions 28 to 507 of the family's 1533-position model. The record is from RNAcentral.
GAUGAACGCUGGCGGCGUGCCUAAUACAUGCAAGUCGAGCGAACAGAUGAGGAGCUUGCUCCUCUGACGUUAGCGGCGGACGGGUGAGUAACACGUGGAUAACCUACCUAUAAGACUGGGAUAACUUCGGGAAACCGGAGCUAAUACCGGAUAAUAUAUUGAACCGCAUGGUUCAAUAGUGAAAGACGGUUUUGCUGUCACUUAUAGAUGGAUCCGCGCCGCAUUAGCUAGUUAGUAAGGUAACGGCUUACCAAGGCAACGAUGCGUAGCCGACCUGAGAGGGUGAUCGGCCACACUGGAACUGAGACACGGUCCAGACUCCUACGGGAGGCAGCAGUAGGGAAUCUUCCGCAAUGGGCGAAAGCUUGACGGAGCAACGCCGCGUGAGUGAUGAAGGUCUUCGGAUCGUAAAACUCUGUUAUUAGGGAAGAACAAAUGUGUAAGUAACUAUGCACGUCUUGACGGUACCUAAUCAGAAAGCCACGGCUAACUACGUG